RNAcentral lists this ribosomal RNA (253 nucleotides) under uncultured bacterium. RNAcentral's name for it is "partial 16S ribosomal RNA". It matches the Rfam family "Bacterial small subunit ribosomal RNA", at positions 524 to 776 of the family's 1533-position model. The record is from RNAcentral.
UACGUAGGCAGCGAGCGUUGUUCGGAGUUACUGGGCGUAAAGGGUGUGUAGGCGGUUCUUUAAGUUUGGGGUGAAAUCUCCCGGCUCAACCGGGAGGGUGCGCCGAAUACUGAGGGACUAGAGUAUGGGAUGGGAAAGUGGAAUUCCUGGUGUAGCGGUGAAAUGCGUAGAUAUCAGGAGGAACACCUGUGGUGUAGACGGCUUUCUGGACCAUAACUGACGCUGAGACACGAAAGCGUGGGUAGCAAACAGG